Molecule: long non-coding RNA, 417 nt
Filed under: Helianthus annuus (common sunflower)
Lineage: Eukaryota; Viridiplantae; Streptophyta; Magnoliopsida; Asterales; Asteraceae
Source: RNAcentral
GGCGCUAUUAGAAAAGCACAUGAAGACGUUCAAAUGGUGGUGGAGACUCUUUACAACCAUUGCAGUGGAAGCUAGAUAAAGAUAUGAGAAACGUUAAUAUAAUUUUUUUAGCGAAGCUUUUGAGAAUUUUCAGGAUGAUAUGGUUCAAGAGUAUUCAGAUGCACCUUUAGGACAUUCUCAAACUCAUUUGCCUAUGGCAUCUAAAGUUUUUUUUUUUAUGGUUUUCAUCUUAGGUUCGCUCAAAAUCUAGACAUCUCUUGGUUUUAUUAUCUUCUACCACUUAAAACAAAUAUAUGAGCAUGCUUCAGGUUUAAAAGGGAUAGCAUGGCAGAAGAGCCUUGAAGAGGACCAUCAAAUGACUAAAGUUGAGCUUAGAAGACAGAAGCUAUGCGGAAAGAUUUUGAUAGUCAACGAGCA